Molecule: non-coding RNA, 65 nt
Filed under: unclassified sequences
Source: RNAcentral
CGAAAACAGAGUAGCAGGGUGGUGAUUCCUGCGCCAAUCAUCAGGUUGGUUCUGCUGGACCGCGG